This 570-nucleotide long non-coding RNA is filed under the name Lonchura striata (white-rumped munia). RNAcentral describes it as "domestica (Bengalese finch) lncRNA (ENSLSDG00000001198.1)". Lineage: Eukaryota; Metazoa; Chordata; Aves; Passeriformes; Estrildidae. The record is from RNAcentral.
CAAAUCUGACCGGGGGACCCCAAAUCUGACCAGGGAACCCCAAAUCUGACCGGGGGGACCCCAAAUCCUCGGCUUUGGGGGGUUCUGGGACAUUUUGGGGUCCAUGAGGGGUUUUUGGCGUCCCCGUGAGUUUUGGGGUGCCCCCUGUGGAUUUUGGGGUCCUUGAGGGGGUCUCUGUGGGGGUUUUGGGGUCCCUUGGGGUCUCUGUGAGUUUUGGGGUACCUCCGGGAUGUUUUGGGGUCUCUGUGAGUUUUGGGGUGCCCCCUGUGGAUUUUGGGGUCCUUGAGGGGGUCUCUGCGGGUUUUUUGGGGUCUCUGUGGGGUUUUUGGGGUCCCACUGGGAUGUUUUGGGGUCCCUGUGGGGUUUUUGGGGUCUCUGUGAAUUUUGGGGUCCCUGCGUGGGGUUUUUGGGGGUCCCUGUGUAUUUUGGGGUCCCCCACUUUGUGCUUUGGGGUCUCUGUGGGGUUUUCGGGGUCCCUGAGGGGUCUCUGUGGGUUUUUUGGGAUCUCUGUGAGUUUUGAGGUCCCCCCGGGAUGUUUUGGGGUCCCCCCCGGGUUUUGGGGUCCCCCCG